Molecule: ribosomal RNA, 303 nt
Filed under: uncultured bacterium
Lineage: Bacteria
Description: partial 16S ribosomal RNA
Rfam family: Bacterial small subunit ribosomal RNA
Source: RNAcentral
AGCAGUAGCCGCGGUAAUACGAAGGGUGCAAGCGUUACUCGGAAUUACUGGGCGUAAAGCGUGCGUAGGUGGUGGUUUAAGUCCGUUGUGAAAGCCCUGGGCUCAACCUGGGAAUUGCAGUGGAUACUGGGUCACUAGAGUGUGGUAGAGGAUAGUGGAAUUUCCGGUGUAGCAGUGAAAUGCGUAGAGAUCGGAAGGAACAUCUGUGGCGAAGGCGACUAUCUGGGCCAACACUGACACUGAGGCACGAAAGCGUGGGGAGCAAACAGGAUUAGAUACCCCAGUAGUCCUGUCUCUUAUACA